RNAcentral lists this transfer RNA (67 nucleotides) under Trombonia linearis. RNAcentral's name for it is "tRNA-Ile". The record is from RNAcentral. Lineage: Eukaryota; Metazoa; Arthropoda; Insecta; Hemiptera; Cicadidae.
AAUAAGGUGCCUGACAAAAGGAUUAUUUUGAUAGAAUAAACUAUGUAUUAUUAUAUUACUCUUAUUA